GAUGAACGCUGACAGAAUGCUUAACACAUGCAAGUCUACUUGAAUUUGGGUUUUUUAACUUAGAUUUGGGUGGCGGACGGGUGAGUAACGCGUAAAGAACUUGCCUCACAGCUAGGGACAACAUUUGGAAACGAAUGCUAAUACCUGAUAUUAUGAUUAUAAGGCAUCUUAGAAUUAUGAAAGCUAUAUGCGCUGUGAGAGAGCUUUGCGUCCCAUUAGCUAGUUGGAGAGGUAACGGCUCACCAAGGCGAUGAUGGGUAGCCGGCCUGAGAGGGUGAACGGCCACAAGGGGACUGAGACACGGCCCUUACUCCUACGGGAGGCAACAGUGGGGAAUAUUGGACAAUGGACCAAGAGUCUGAUCCAGCAAUUCUGCGUGCACGAUGACGUUUUUCGGAAUGUAAAGUGCUUUCAGUUGGGAAGAAAAAAAUGACGGUACCAACAGAAGAAGUGACGGCUAAAUACGUG
This 468-nucleotide ribosomal RNA is filed under the name uncultured bacterium. Its description in RNAcentral is "partial 16S ribosomal RNA". It matches the Rfam family "Bacterial small subunit ribosomal RNA", at positions 28 to 507 of the family's 1533-position model. The record is from RNAcentral.